RNAcentral lists this ribosomal RNA (552 nucleotides) under Saccharomonospora xinjiangensis. RNAcentral describes it as "bacterial SSU rRNA". It matches the Rfam family "Bacterial small subunit ribosomal RNA", at positions 81 to 646 of the family's 1533-position model. The record is from RNAcentral. Lineage: Bacteria; Bacillati; Actinomycetota; Actinomycetes; Pseudonocardiales; Pseudonocardiaceae.
UGCUGGGUGGAUGAGUGGCGAACGGGUGAGUAACACGUGGGUAAUCUGCCCUGUACUCUGGGAUAAGCCUGGGAAACUGGGUCUAAUACCGGAUAGGACACAUCACCGCAUGGUGGUGUGUGGAAAGUUCCGGCGGUACAGGUUGAGCCCGCGGCCUAUCAGCUUGUUGGUGGGGUGAUGGCCUACCAAGGCGACGACGGGUAGCCGGCCUGAGAGGGUGACCGGCCACACUGGGACUGAGACACGGCCCAGACUCCUACGGGAGGCAGCAGUGGGGAAUAUUGCACAAUGGGCGCAAGCCUGAUGCAGCGACGCCGCGUGGGGGAUGACGGCCUUCGGGUUGUAAACCCCUUUCGCCCGGGACGAAGCGAAAGUGACGGUACCGGGAGAAGAAGCACCGGCCAACUACGUGCCAGCAGCCGCGGUAAUACGUAGGGUGCAAGCGUUGUCCGGAAUUAUUGGGCGUAAAGAGCUCGUAGGCGGUGUGUCACGUCUGCCGUGAAAACCUGCGGCUUAACCGUGGGCGUGCGGUGGAUACGGGCAUCACUUGAG